This 461-nucleotide ribosomal RNA is filed under the name uncultured bacterium. RNAcentral's name for it is "partial 16S ribosomal RNA". It matches the Rfam family "Bacterial small subunit ribosomal RNA", at positions 28 to 506 of the family's 1533-position model. The record is from RNAcentral.
GAUGAACGCUGGCAGAAUGCUUAACACAUGCAAGUCGUUCGCGAAGCUGUGCUUGCACAUCCUAGCCAAGGCGGACGGGUGGGGAACGCGUAAGGAACUUGCCCUGCCUUCAGGGAUAACAGACGGAAACGACUCAGAAGCCCUGGUAAAGUCAGGCUGACUCAUGUACAGCCUGAUGAGAAGAGAUGCUGCAGGAGAGCCUUGCGUCCGAUUAGCUUGUUGGUGAGGUAACGGCCCACCAAGGGGAUGAUAGGGAGCCGGCCUGAGAGGGUGGACGGCCACAAGGGGAGUGAGACACGGCUCUGACUCCUACGGGAGGGAGCGGUGGGGAAUAUUAGACAAUGCGGGCAACUCAGAUCCAGCAAUGCUGUGUGCAAGAUGAUGGUUUUCGGAUAAUAAAGUGCUUAGAGAAGGGACGAAAAAAUGAGGGUACUUGCAAAAGAAGCGCGGGCUAAAUACGU